This 253-nucleotide ribosomal RNA is filed under the name uncultured bacterium. RNAcentral describes it as "partial 16S ribosomal RNA". It matches the Rfam family "Bacterial small subunit ribosomal RNA", at positions 524 to 776 of the family's 1533-position model. The record is from RNAcentral.
UACGUAGGGUGCAAGCGUUAAUCGGAAUUACUGGGCGUAAAGCAUGCGCAGGCGGUUCUAUAAGACAGAUGUGAAAGCCCAGGGCUUAACCCUGGAAUUGCCUUUAAGACUGCAUCGCUAGAAUCGUGGAGAGGUGAGUGGAAUUCCGAGUGUAGAGGUGAAAUUCGUAGAUAUUCGGAAGAACACCAGUGGCGAAGGCGACUCACUGGACACGUAUUGACGCUGAGGUGCGAAAGCGUGGGGAGCAAACAGG